Long non-coding RNA from Rhincodon typus (whale shark), 1017 nucleotides. RefSeq lists it as uncharacterized. The transcript is spliced from 2 exons. The record is from RefSeq and is a predicted model, not a curated record. NCBI's taxonomy places the organism in Eukaryota, Metazoa, Chordata, Chondrichthyes, Orectolobiformes, Rhincodontidae.
GCCACAUUGUAAGAAGGAUGUAAUUAUACUAGAAAAAAUACACAAAAGACUCAACAGGAUAUUGCCUGGGCUGGAGUGAUCCUGCUAUGAAGAAAGACUAGAGAGGCUGGAAUUGUUUUCCUUGGAGCAGAGAAGGGUGAGGGAGGAUCUGAUUGAGGCAUGCAAAGUUCUGAGGGGUAUAUACAGUAGGUAGGGAGAAAUGUUUUCCCCUUCGUAGAGGUAUCAGUAACCAGGCGAGCAUGAUUUAAGAUAAGGAGCAGUUCAUUUAGAGGGAUUUGAGGAAAAUGUUCAUCCAGAAGUUUGUGGGUAUCUAGAACUCACUUGCUAAAAGUGUGGUAGAUGCAGGAACACUUAAGACAUUCAAGAAUUAUUAAGAUGACCACUUAAAAUGCCAUAAUGUACAAGGCUAUAAGGCCAAGUGCUGGAAAAUGAGAUUAGAAUUGACAAAUGUUUGAUGACUGACACAGACAUGAUGGGCUGAAGGACCCUUUCUAUGAUGUAAAAAUCUGAUUCUAUGACCUUCACUUAAGUAAUUGCACCAGUUUUAAUUUUUUACUGUACAUAAAAUACACAUUUUAUAUACCUCUUUUAAUAUCUCCAUGUUCUUUUCUCAGGAAAGUUAUCAAAAUACCUUUUUUUUCAAUGUGUAAGUGCCAUAACUGAAUGAGGAUAUUAUCUAUUGGUUUUCAGUAGAAUGGGUGGAAGGAGAAUAAACAAAUUACUUGCGAUGUACAUACUUACCCCUGAUAGAUUUGAAACUUCUGAUCAGUAUACAGCCCUGAAAUGAUGGAAAGAAUAAAUCAAUUAGGGCCGCUAAGAAAAGCCAGCAGAAGACCCACCCUUAUCAAACCAAGUCCAAACAUGCACAGCCAGGUUCCCAAAUGUAGCUGACAUCUAGAUCAUUCGACAUUCUCACAAAGAAGGCGACUUUCAGCUGAAACCUUUAGUGGGAAAAACUGUAGCAAUUGUAUUCUUUUAUAAUCUAAUUGCAAUAAACAUACAGUAAUGACCAUUUCA